UACGGAGGGUGCAAACGUUGCUCGGAAUUACUGGGCGUAAAGGGCUCGUAGGCGGCCAACUAAGUCAGACGUGAAAUCCCCAGGCUCAACCUGGGAACUGCGUCUGAUACUGAUUGGCUUGAAUCCGGGAGAGGGAUGCAGAAUUCCAGGUGUAGCGGUGAAAUGCGUAGAUAUCUGGAGGAAUACCGGUGGCGAAGGCGGCAUCCUGGACCGGCAUUGACGCUGAGGAGCGAAAGCCAGGGGAGCAAACGGG
Molecule: ribosomal RNA, 253 nt
Filed under: uncultured bacterium
Lineage: Bacteria
Description: partial 16S ribosomal RNA
Rfam family: Bacterial small subunit ribosomal RNA
Source: RNAcentral